Molecule: ribosomal RNA, 253 nt
Filed under: uncultured bacterium
Lineage: Bacteria
Description: partial 16S ribosomal RNA
Rfam family: Bacterial small subunit ribosomal RNA
Source: RNAcentral
UACGUAGGGUGCAAGCGUUAAUCGGAAUUACUGGGCGUAAAGGGCGCGUAGGCGGCGACCCAAGUCAGAUGUGAAAGUCCUGGGCUUAACCUGGGGACUGCAUUUGAUACUGGGUUGCUUGAAUUCGGGAGAGGAUAGCGGAAUUCCCAGUGUAGAGGUGAAAUUCGUAGAUAUUGGGAAGAACACCGGUGGCGAAGGCGGCUAUCUGGACCGACAUUGACGCUGAGGCGCGAAAGCGUGGGGAGCAAACAGG